UAAUAAGUGUUUUAUGGCACUUUUUAAAUCCAUAUCCACCUUGUGUGCAAUGUCAGUCGAUCUUCCUCAUAGGAGAUCGACCAAACAUCAACCUUUAUCUUUUAACUCUUUGUCUGAAAAAUAUUAUGAAUAAACAAUUCAAAAUA
Molecule: unclassified non-coding RNA, 146 nt
Filed under: soil metagenome
Description: partial internal transcribed spacer 1
Source: RNAcentral